Molecule: ribosomal RNA, 253 nt
Filed under: uncultured bacterium
Lineage: Bacteria
Description: partial 16S ribosomal RNA
Rfam family: Bacterial small subunit ribosomal RNA
Source: RNAcentral
UACGAAGGGGGCUAGCGUUGUUCGGAUUUACUGGGCGUAAAGCGCACGUAGGCGGCCUGUUAAGUCAGGGGUGAAAUCCUGGAGCUCAACUCCAGAACUGCCCUUGAUACUGGCAGGCUCGAGUAUGGUAGAGGUUGGUGGAACUGCGAGUGUAGAGGUGAAAUUCGUAGAUAUUCGCAAGAACACCAGUGGCGAAGGCGGCCAACUGGACCAUUACUGACGCUGAGGUGCGAAAGCGUGGGGAGCAAACAGG